This is a long non-coding RNA of Octopus sinensis (East Asian common octopus), 103 nucleotides long. RefSeq lists it as uncharacterized. The record is from RefSeq and is a predicted model, not a curated record. The transcript has 3 exons. NCBI's taxonomy places the organism in Eukaryota, Metazoa, Mollusca, Cephalopoda, Octopoda, Octopodidae.
AUAUAUGUAUAUAUAUAUAUGUAUACACAUGCAUGUAGCCUCUUUCAUCUUCCCUUGGUGUACCUCUUCUAAUUUACUAAAGACACUCUAAGGAUUUUGUAAU